Molecule: RNA transcript, 3768 nt
Organism: Neocloeon triangulifer
Lineage: Eukaryota; Metazoa; Arthropoda; Insecta; Ephemeroptera; Baetidae
Gene: conu
Gene name: rho GTPase-activating protein conundrum
Exons: 13
Source: RefSeq, a predicted model, not a curated record
CGUUUAACUAGUUUAGUUGCUUUAGUUGUUUCUCGAAUUUCUCGAUUAAAAGAGAGCACUCGCACCCACACUCAGUGCAGCAACCGAGCUCAGUGUAGACGGGGCAGUUGGCAAUUUAUGUACAUAAAUUCAUUACCUUUAAAAUCUUUAAUGUACCAACACCAACCAAGUUUUAUAUAAGUAGAAAUAUUCUUUCCUGGCAGCCAAGAACGUCAACCUUAAAUUUCCAUUCGCCGUCCAGUGUGUCCAGUUCAGAAGCAACCGACACUAAAGACAGUAGACGUGGUGAAAAAUGGAGGACCUGAGGGACUACUGGGUGGAAUAUGCACUGCGACCACCUGACUCUGCUGACGAACCGCUCAGUCUGCAGGACAGCUCUCAAACUUGGGAGGAAGGUGAACAAGAAGAAGCAUGGUUGCUGGAAGCAGGUCUAGCGCACUUAACAGGCCCCUGGAAGGCUGGCCGAGAGUUGUGGGGUGCUGAAUUAUCGGAUGCCUUAAGCAGUCUUCCGCCUCACCAGGUGGAUGCUGUGCGGCGGCGCGUUGACAGUUUGAACCACACAAUAGUUCGACGGCGGUCGCGUCCUGGCCGCUCAGCACGUAACACCCCUCACAUCAAGGACGUGUUUUCGUCGCCUCCGUCACAUUCCCUACAGGCCAGCCAGUCCCAGCACAUGUCCCUGCCUGUGAUGGUGUCAUCAAGACCCCCAGCCAGAAGAGUUUUCUCAACCACAGCAUCGACUGAUUUUCCAGACACCACUGCAAGGUUUGACCUGUUUGGCGGAAUGCAGACUGGAGAAGUUGCUGGAGACACUGAUGGAGUUCUUAUGCUUGGCUACCAUCACAUUGGAACAAUCAGCAAACCCAGAUCAAGGGAAAAGCGAAGUGGAAGUGAUCCCACUUCGGAGUGCGGCAGUUUGAGAGUUAAAGGUGGUGAUUUUGAUGCUUGUGUGUCCGUGACCACACAGGAAAGUAGUCAAGCUUUUGAUUCAAUCCUUCCAAUCAGAAGAGCAUCAUCGCAGGGCCAUUUAGCCUCAGAGGAAGCAAAAUUGGACAUUGAAGCUGAGUGGUUGAAGUGGUCAUUUGUGAUUUCAAGCGCUGAGGAAGAAAAGGUCGUAGAAGAACGACUUGGCCAGACAUACUUUGAUGGUUUGGGAGAAGAGGACAGAAAGAGACUAAGGCCACUUUUGCUUUUAGAAGUAACCCCGUUGCUUGAUCUCUGUGGAGCUCCUGGAUUAAAGUUGAAACUCAACAAGAAGAAACGUAAAGAUGAUCUCGGCUUUAAUUCUGCUGUAUUUGGUGUUCCCUUGGCAACCCUCCUGGAGAGAGAUAGUAGACUGCCUGGUUGUGAAGACUUAAAAAUUCCUUUCAUUUUUCAAAAGCUCCUUCAACUUUUGGAGAGAGAGUCAUGUCUGCAAGAGGAGGGACUGCUGAGGGUAGCUGGCAGUAGGGUCAGGAUGGAAGUGGCAGCUGCAGCUCUGCAGUCCAAUCUGUAUGGCCCAAACAGAGAGGAAAAAGCUAUCAGAGCCCUAGAUGCACUCGGCCCUCAUGACUUAGGUGCUCUUCUAAAAAAGCUUCUCAGGGAGCUGCCGCAGCCCUUGCUAACUGCUCCCCUACUAGAUUCAUUUUACCACUGUCAUUCCCUUACGAAUCCUGCCGACAAGGAAAAGGCACUACGGCUUUUGAGCCUUUUGUUACCUCCAGCUGAGCGACACGUUUUGCAAGCGUUGCUCGAAUUUUUGGCACAAGUCGCUGAAAGGGAGAUGUAUAACAAAAUGACUCUCAACAAUGUGGCCAUGAUUUUUGCUCCCAACUUGUUCCCUCCUACGUGGCUUCAGAAGUUUUCCCCCGCUGGUGAUCAAGAGGGUUAUUUGAAUCAGCAGGUGCAAGUAGCAGCCGAGAGCUGCCGUCUUGUUGAGUUCAUGGUGCGCAAGCGAGAUGCGCUUUCGAGUGUGCCACCGUCCUUAGUGCGCCAACUGAGGCAGCAGUACGAGUCGGAGAGAUACCAGUGCGCAUCUCAGCAUUUAAUGGAAAACAAAAAACAUAUGAGAAAAUUACUAGGUCGCAGACCGCUGCUCAAAGAAUCAAUAGUGAGAGUUGUUGACAACGAAGUUGACUUCCAGGAGGGCGUUCUAAGGGUUAAUGCGCCACAGUUUCGUUUUCGGGAAUAUCCUAUUCAAUUGGUUGAAGCUACCACUGCUGGCAACAUUAUUUUAGAGUUAGUUAGCGAAGCAAAUUCUCAACCAGAAGAGCCUCCGGGUUCAGCAAACCAGCAACUCAAGUUGCGAAGACAGGACGGAAGAAACAGGGCUCUCUGUGAGCUGGCACCAAACGGAAACCUGAGCUGCCUCUUGGCCUCAGCUGACUCUGAAACAGCACUUAAGACACAUUUUUUAUAUGAACACGGGGGAAAUAUUGGUAUAAAAUGUCUUGCAAUAAUUUUAUUUAAUAAAAAAAUAAAUAAAUUGGGUGGUGCCUUCUGCACCACCAAUAAAGGGCACAGGCCGACAAGACUAGUCUUGGCCUGACCCUAAAAAAAAAACAUUCAUUUCACUUCCAAAUGAAAAAAUUAUUCAACAAGAACUACUUUGCACUUUUAGGGAUUGAAUUGCAAAACAGCACGACAUACCACGGACUCGUAGUCAGAUGUUUUAUAUUUUUUCAGAUUCAGAAUUAUUUUUAUUUCGACAACUUUUAAAAUACGUCAUUCACAUAUUUAUAACAAUUUACAAAUCAAAUUUACAACUGAAAAACUCGUUCAUGUCAUAAUACUGAUAUACAAUUUAUCUUAUUUUGCAAAUAAACUCGUUACUUUCCAUAGUCAUUUUUACACUAACAGGUAAAGAGUUGAAUACUCUUGCAAUCAAACUACAGGAUUUUGGUUUAAAAUAUCCAAAAUCCUGUAGUUAAGAAUAUUCAACUCUUUACCUGUUAGUGUAAAAAUGACUAUGGAAAAGUAAUUAUGCUGUUUUGCAAUUCAGCCUCUGAAAGUGUGAAAUAGUUAUUUUUGAUUAUCAGGAGAGUGAUCCUUUCUGAAUUACAUUCAAUUCACCUAUAUAAUUCUCACAACAGGCCAAAGACAAAUUCCGCAAUCAGCGAAGAUGUUGUGCGUCUACAGGGAGAACCCAAAUGCUCAAUGGAUCGUAGUGUGCCAUCACAGGAACGCGAGAUCUUCACUUGAAUCAUAGUUACUUGAAACAAAAGUAGAUUAUGCAAAAUUAAAUUAGUGAAGGAAUUUAUAUUUUUGAGAAUUUAAAACCCAAAGAAACCACUGGAAACCGACUGGAAACAGGAAAUAAUUAAAUUAGUACUAAUCGCCUUGACGUGGAAUUACGUUCCGAGACGCGAGAUAUUUGAGACAAAGCCGGUGUAAAAAAGUUAGAAAAUUCCUGUUGUGAUAACCAUUUUAAUUGAGGGCGAAAGAAUUUUAAUUUUGGGAAAGUAAAAUUGUUUAUUGUCACAACAUGAAUGUUCCAACUUUUUUUACACCAGCUUUGUCUCAAAUAUCCCGCGUCUCGGAUCGUAAUUCCACGUCAAGGCGAUUAGUCACAAGUACUAAUUUAAUCAAUAUACUUAUUAAAAAAAAAAUUGCAUUGUAUGACUUAUUUUUACAAUCUUUGUAUUUCAUUUGUCUAAACAAUUGACGAUCAUGCAACCGACAGCACCUAGCAUGUUUAAAAAUAUGUGCAAUAAAUGUUUGUGGUUGCAGUAUCAAAUUUCAAUAAUGACUGGAUUUCCCACAAAUAAAUAAUUUAUUUUUCUCUAUAUA